RNAcentral lists this ribosomal RNA (465 nucleotides) under Vreelandella stevensii. RNAcentral's name for it is "partial 16S ribosomal RNA". It matches the Rfam family "Bacterial small subunit ribosomal RNA", at positions 338 to 795 of the family's 1533-position model. The record is from RNAcentral. Lineage: Bacteria; Pseudomonadati; Pseudomonadota; Gammaproteobacteria; Oceanospirillales; Halomonadaceae.
CCUACGGGUGGCAGCAGUGGGGAAUAUUGGACAAUGGGGGGAACCCUGAUCCAGCCAUGCCGCGUGUGUGAAGAAGGCCCUCGGGUUGUAAAGCACUUUCAGUGAGGAAGAACGCCUGGUGGUUAAUACCCAUCAGGAAAGACAUCGCUCACAGAAGAAGCACCGGCUAACUCCGUGCCAGCAGCCGCGGUAAUACGGAGGGUGCGAGCGUUAAUCGGAAUUACUGGGCGUAAAGCGCGCGUAGGUGGCUUGAUAAGCCGGUUGUGAAAGCCCCGGGCUCAACCUGGGAACGGCAUCCGGAACUGUCAAGCUAGAGUGCAGGAGAGGAAGGUAGAAUUCCCGGUGUAGCGGUGAAAUGCGUAGAGAUCGGGAGGAAUAACAGUGGCGAAGGCGGCCUUCUGGACUGACACUGACACUGAGGUGCGAAAGCGUGGGUAGCAAACAGGAUUAGAUACCCCAGUAGUC